Lagopus muta (rock ptarmigan) is the source of this 582-nucleotide long non-coding RNA. RefSeq lists it as uncharacterized. NCBI's taxonomy places the organism in Eukaryota, Metazoa, Chordata, Aves, Galliformes, Phasianidae. The record is from RefSeq and is a predicted model, not a curated record. The transcript is spliced from 3 exons.
GGAAGAAUCUCUGGAGAUUUCUCCUUAGUGAAGCUUCUUCCUGCAAGCCUAGCAUCUUCUGGUACAAAGAAUCUUGAGCUGCAUCUACCUUUCCCUGUGUUGUUCUCCAUCGAAGUGGGAUCAAAAGCAGAUGAAGACACAAGCAUUAUUACUUCUUUCCACUGUGAGCAUGUUUUCAGUAAAUGAAAUUUAACUGCUGAUGGCAUGAUUCCUACUGCUGGUAUCUCGGUGAAGAGAGGGUAAAGAUGUUGGGGAGUCAGUGUCUUCAGAGCCCGAAGAAGUGAAAGCACUGCUCAGAGCACUGCAGUACAGAAACGGAAUUUGUGCAACGACAGCGAGUGCGACCCACGAGUAAACGCCCGCGGGAAGGCCAGGAGGCCGCACGGGACCUUCCAGCUGCAGGCGCGCGGCCGGCUGAUAUUUCCUAAAGGACGCGCGAAGCAGAACGGCGCGUAGCCGCGCUCCGUCACACCGCGCGCCACUUCAUGACACCCGCUCGGACCUCCCCGCGCCGCACUCACGGCGGGGCCGUUUCCAGCCGGCCCGAGCCUUGGCACCGCGCGGCCCCGGCCCGCCCCGCGC